RNAcentral lists this ribosomal RNA (328 nucleotides) under uncultured eukaryote. Its description in RNAcentral is "partial 18S ribosomal RNA". It matches the Rfam family "Eukaryotic small subunit ribosomal RNA", at positions 1470 to 1796 of the family's 1831-position model. The record is from RNAcentral.
CCCUUAGAUGUUCUGGCCGCACGCGCGCUACACUGACGAUGGCAACGAGUUUUUCCUUCGCCGAAAGGUGUGGGUAAUCUUUUGAAACAUCGUCGUGCUGGGGAUAGAUCAUUGCAAUUUUUGAUCUUGAACGAGGAAUUCCUAGUAAGCGCGAGUCAUCAGCUCGCGUUGAUUACGUCCCUGCCCUUUGUACACACCGCCCGUCGCUACUACCGAUUGAAUGGUUUAGUGAGGACUCCUGAUUGGCGCCGCCGCCCCGGCAACGGAGCAGCGGACUGCCGAAAAGUUGUUCAAACUUGAUCAUUUAGAGGAAGUAAAAGUCGUAACA